This 335-nucleotide ribosomal RNA is filed under the name uncultured Burkholderiales bacterium. RNAcentral's name for it is "bacterial SSU rRNA". It matches the Rfam family "Bacterial small subunit ribosomal RNA", at positions 8 to 345 of the family's 1533-position model. Lineage: Bacteria; Pseudomonadati; Pseudomonadota; Betaproteobacteria; Burkholderiales. The record is from RNAcentral.
AGAGUUUGAUCAUGGCUCAGAUUGAACGCUGGCGGCAUGCCUUACACAUGCAAGUCGAACGGCAGCGCGGGAGUAAUCCUGGCGGCGAGUGGCGAACGGGUGAGUAAUAUAUCGGAACGUGCCUUAGAGUGGGGGAUAACUAGUCGAAAGACUAGCUAAUACCGCAUACGACCUACGGGUGAAAGUGGGGGAUCGCAAGACCUCAUGCUCUUAGAGCGGCCGAUAUCUGAUUAGCUAGUUGGUGGGGUAAAAGCUCACCAAGGCGACGAUCAGUAGCUGGUCUGAGAGGACGACCAGCCACACUGGGACUGAGACACGGCCCAGACUCCUACGGG